Molecule: long non-coding RNA, 438 nt
Organism: Vidua chalybeata
Lineage: Eukaryota; Metazoa; Chordata; Aves; Passeriformes; Viduidae
Exons: 4
Source: RefSeq, a predicted model, not a curated record
CAUGGUGCCAGAUGGUUAUCAGAUUUGUUCUCUGUUGUUGACAACCUUGGCUCUCCACUGCUUUGGGCACUUCAGUUCUCAGUGUCUGUCCAGGAGAAAUGAGCUGAAGCACAAGAAGCUGCACUCAGAGGGAGAGGAGUACUUUUUUCUGCUGUGCCAUGGGGUCCCUCCCACAGGUGCUGCAGCAGGAUGGAUGUGCUGUCAGUGAGCCCGUGUGCAGCUGCAACAGGCUUGCUCACACAUGGCUUUUCUUUAGCAAGCUCCUCUCCUUGGAGCUUGGUUGACACCUUCCUACAACUUGGAUGACCCAACCCCUGCCCAGGGAGCAGAAACAAGGGAACGUUUUGCCUGAAUAUCCACUUUGAAAUAGACGCAGCAUCAGAGAUAUGCACAGGUAACAACUGAGGCAUGAAAUUCUAUGUUCCUGCUCAGAGGUGU